Molecule: ribosomal RNA, 497 nt
Filed under: uncultured bacterium
Lineage: Bacteria
Description: partial 16S ribosomal RNA
Rfam family: Bacterial small subunit ribosomal RNA
Source: RNAcentral
GAUGAACGCUGGCGGCGUGCCUAAUACAUGCAAGUCGAGCGAACAGAUAAGGAGCUUGCUCCUUUGACGUUAGCGGCGGACGGGUGAGUAACACGUGGAUAACCUACCUAUAAGACUGGGAUAACUUCGGGAAACCGGAGCUAAUACCGGAUAACAUAUUGAACCGCAUGGUUCAAUAGUGAAAGGCGGCUUUGCUGUCACUUAUAGAUGGAUCCGCGCCGUAUUAGCUAGUUGGUAAGGUAACGGCUUACCAAGGCAACGAUACGUAGCCGACCUGAGAGGGGGAUCGGCCACCCUGGAACUGAGACACGGUCCAGACUCCUACGGGAGGCAGCAGUAGGGAAUCUUCCGCAAUGGGCGAAAGCCUGACGGAGCAACGCCGCGUGAGUGAUGAAGGUCUUCGGAUCGUAAAACUCUGUUAUCAGGGAAGAACAAAUGUGUAAGUAACUGUGCACAUCUUGACGGUACCUGAUCAGAAAGCCACGGCUAACUACGUG